This is a long non-coding RNA of Mesocricetus auratus (golden hamster), 623 nucleotides long. RefSeq lists it as uncharacterized. The transcript has 2 exons. Lineage: Eukaryota; Metazoa; Chordata; Mammalia; Rodentia; Cricetidae. The record is from RefSeq and is a predicted model, not a curated record.
UCAACGGACCGAGGGAGCUGCAAGGAAGUAAAUUCCCAUUUCCUCUGCCUUCCUCCCAUGUAUUCGUUCAUAAUAAGAAAUAAGCAACACAGCCUUAAAUCUUGUCAAAGAGACAGGAAACCGCUCUGUUUCUCUGAGAGAAAGCCAUUGUCCAGUGAGUUUAUGCACGGAGCACUCCGCACUUUUCCGCCUCCUCAGUUCUGACCCUUGCUCCGUCUUCCUCCCUCUGCUCACCUGUGUCCUCCUCCACCCCUCUCUCUUGCCCUGGCUCCGAAGAAAGAAGAAAGGGAAGAGAAGCUACAAUAGCCCAGAAAUUUGGCUGAAAAGAGCCAUUUCCAUUCCCCAAAGUGUCUCUGGACGUUGUCUCCAUCCAGUGAAAGCCCUGCUCCUCAUAUCUGGAUUGCCAAGGUUUGAAAAAGGAUGCUCUCAUGAGAGGAAAUGACUCAUAAACGGACUGCCCUGCACACUACUAAAUAAAGCUGCACAUUUUCCUCUUAGCCUUUACCUCUGUUGUAAUAUCUGCUUCAAGCUCAUGUCUUGGAGAAUAAGCCUCAACACAUACUUUCUAUUCAUUUUGUAAAAUAGUGGAUCUCAGAAAAAAUAAAGAAAUCACCCAAGAAUAA